CUUAGCUUGAAAGUUGAUCUGAAUAUUUAUUUUUCAUUUCGAUGCAUUACCAAAUCAGUAGCUCGUCCUGUUUGUUAAUAAGUACUCUGCAUACCUUCCAGCUAUACCCGCCUCGUUAUGAGGCAUAUUAUUUAUUGAUAAAUUUAGGAUUUUUUUAUGUCUACAACUACUGGUACUGUGAAAUGGUUUAACGAAGCUAAAGGUUUCGGUUUCAUCGAGCAAGAAUCUGGCCCAGACGUUUUCGCACACUUUAGCCAAAUCAAAGGCGACGGUUUCAGAACGCUGAACGAAGGCCAACGUGUUGAGUUCACUGUAACUCAAGGCGCUAAAGGUCCACAAGCUGAAAACAUUACUGCGCUGUAAGCCAGUUUCAGCUUAGACUCGUUAAGGCGAGUCUGACCAAUAAAAAAGCCCCGCUUCUGCGGGGCUUUUUUUA
Molecule: small RNA, 436 nt
Filed under: Methylophaga thiooxydans DMS010
Lineage: Bacteria; Pseudomonadati; Pseudomonadota; Gammaproteobacteria; Thiotrichales; Piscirickettsiaceae
Description: cspA thermoregulator
Rfam family: cspA thermoregulator
Source: Rfam by way of RNAcentral